UACGUAGGGUCCGAGCGUUGUCCGGAAUUAUUGGGCGUAAAGGGCUCGUAGGCGGUUUGUCGCGUCGGGAGUGAAAACCUACAGCUUAACUGUGGGCUUGCUUUCGAUACGGGCAGACUUGAGGCAUGCAGGGGAGAACGGAAUUCCUGGUGUAGCGGUGAAAUGCGCAGAUAUCAGGAGGAACACCGGUGGCGAAGGCAGGUCUCUGGGCCACUACUGACGCUGAGUGAGCGAAAGCCAGGGGAGCAAACGGG
RNAcentral lists this ribosomal RNA (254 nucleotides) under uncultured bacterium. Its description in RNAcentral is "partial 16S ribosomal RNA". It matches the Rfam family "Bacterial small subunit ribosomal RNA", at positions 524 to 776 of the family's 1533-position model. The record is from RNAcentral.